AUAGCGUGCGUUAAGCAAUUUCUGCGUUUGACUGAUCCUUACACAGAAACGUAAAACGUAAACAUAUCAUAAAAUGUCAAAGACAACUGGCUGAUCAAAUGUUGGCAUCAUUUGGUAAAGAACUACAUUUGGAAAGAAACGACUGGUGUAACAGAAGAAAACACAUUUGAUCCACUGUCUUUCCAAUAAAAGGCCUUGUUGACAUAUGAGUUGUAGCAUCUGCAAUGUAACCUGGCUGAUUCUGAGCUAAGCCAAGUCCUUGUGAAGCCAUGCAUUUAACC
Molecule: long non-coding RNA, 281 nt
Organism: Corticium candelabrum
Lineage: Eukaryota; Metazoa; Porifera; Homoscleromorpha; Homosclerophorida; Plakinidae
Exons: 3
Source: RefSeq, a predicted model, not a curated record